GAGAGGGGAAAAAAAGGAAAAGAGGAAAACCAUAAGAGUGCGGGAGAGAGAGAGAGAGAGAGAAUUGCGAGAGAGAGUGAUUGGAGGCGAGUGCGGGAGGCGAUUGAUCGGAAGUUCUGAAAGAGGUGAGGUCCCGGUAGAUUUGGUGAGAGAAGAGUAUGAAAGCAAGAGGUGUAGGGAAUAUGGAGAAAGGAAAUGCUUUGAGGCGGAAUUGUAUUCGGGAGUAGUAAACGGGGAAGAAGGUGAUACAUUCGUGAGCUAUAGGGGAGAGAGGGGAGUUCUAGUAGGCCGAUAUUUAGGGAUUUCAUUGAGUACAUAAGGAGGAGGAUUAGAGAAGGUUAGAGGUGGAGUCGGCUAGGCUGUGGGGAGAGAGGACUGCUAGGAAUGAGGGGAACUGAGCAAACCGAGAGAUGAGGGAGACGGACAGGGAUGAGGGCAUCGGUUGGCCGACACUUACUGGUUCAGGUGUGUGUGUUUGGGAGGCCUUUGGCCGAUACUUAGGGAUUUUGGGGUGCCGAUGUGGUGAGAAGGCACGUCUGUGUGUGUGUGUCCGUGGCCAUUCAGUGGUCGAUAGGUGCCUUGGCGUUUGCUGGUGCUCAAGGUGCCGAUAGGGUGAAUGAGGCACGUCAUGUGUGUGUGGCCACUCAGUGGUCGAGAUGUGGUUGUAGGGAAGCAGAUGCUAGUGUGUGGAGGUGCCAGUAGAGUGAAGAGGCACGGUUGUGUGAGUGUGGCCCUUAAAGGGUCGAUAGGUGUUUGGGAGCGUCUACUAUUGUGGUGAGACAGUGGAUGCGGCACAGGUGUGCGUGGGUGGCCUUUCAAGGGUUGUUACUUGCACAAGAGGUGCAGUGGAAAGUGGGUGGUGUGAAUGUGGGAAAAAGAAAUAUACGGUUGAGUCUGGUGAUGUCGAGUGGUGGUAUUUGUGGGGGUUAUUAGUUGUUUGGGUUGUUAUGGUAUUUGGUGUGGCAAUGCUGUCGAACGGUUUGGGUGGGUUUGUGUUCUGUAUAGGGCCAUAAUGGAAUAUUAGGUUAGAGUAAGAGGGGUGUCAGACUAUGUCGACCAGUUGCAGGGGGCGAGGUUAGAGACAGUAGGUAGCAGAUGGGAAUGAGUGUGAGUGUGAGAGAAGCAUGGGUGGAGAUGAGGUGAAGUUAGCAGGAAGGAAUGAGCAACGAGUGUAGAAUAAAAUGUUGGGAAGGGAGUCUAACAAAUUGUCAUAUUUUAGUUUUAAAUUCUAAAUUAUUCUUAUUGGGAUAUGUAUAUUAAUUACUUUCAUUUUAAGAUGCAGUGUAAUAGAAAUUGAAAUCGAAAUAUUUAGUACGGGACUCCAUACUUAAGAAGAUAGAAUAGUAGAAUUAAAAUUGAUAUGAAAUGUUAUAAUUACCUGUGCUAAAACGAUAGUUAAUUCUCAUGUGUUCUUUUGUAUUCAUUAGGUUAAUUUUAGUUAAAUAUUGUAUAUUUUGUAAAAAAUUGUGUUUACUUUAUUGCAAGAGUUUUUACGGCA
Molecule: long non-coding RNA, 1498 nt
Organism: Carica papaya (papaya)
Lineage: Eukaryota; Viridiplantae; Streptophyta; Magnoliopsida; Brassicales; Caricaceae
Source: RefSeq, a predicted model, not a curated record